AGCAGAUAUCAUGAACACUUCUGCUUUUUCUUUCUUUAUAUUACAGCAUUGUAUCUAGGCUUCUAAUCAAAGGGACUGGAGAAACAUGGGUGUCAGAGAGAUCCAAACAUGUUAAUUAAUAUUCCAAAGACUGGAGAAGGAAGGGGCAAAAGCAGAUGUUUCACUGUGCAGAGAAGAACCAGGACGAGGAAAUCAGGCUCCUGAACUUGAGCAUCUUUUCUUUCAACAGGAAAUGUAACAAAAGCUUUUAUCACGCCUGACUGGAUGUAACCCAAAUAAUAAACUGACAUAACAUACACUGAAUGGAAUUCAGAGAUUUGAACCUUGAAAAUACUGAGCACAGCAGCACAGUGGCAGCUGAAGAGAUGAAUCAUUCAGUCAACACCAAAAAGGAUUGUACUUUCACUACAAACUUCUGUCACAUUUCUUUGUGAAAUCAGUAUACAAGACAGGAUCAUCCUUGAAGAUUAUAUCAUCACAGAGACUGGAAAAAAUGAUGCCUUGUUAUGAUAAUUUUGUUCCUGACAAAAAAGAAAUCUAGGCUGAUAAAUUUAUAUAUAUAUAUAUUUAGCUAAAGUUUGCUACUUA
Molecule: long non-coding RNA, 588 nt
Organism: Gallus gallus (chicken)
Lineage: Eukaryota; Metazoa; Chordata; Aves; Galliformes; Phasianidae
Source: Ensembl